AGUCGAACGCAGUAGCAAUACUGAGUGGCAAACGGGUGAGUAUAAUGUGGGAAUCUGCCUUUUGGUUCGGAACAACACGGGGAAACCUGUGCUAAUACCGGAUAAGUCCUAACGGAGAAAGUUUUAAUGCCAAAAGAUGAGCCCGCAUUUGAUUAGCUAGUUGGUAAGGUAAAAGCUUACCAAGGCAACGAUCAAUAGCUGUUCUUAGAGGAAGACCAGCCACAUUGGGACUGAGACACGGCCCAAACUCC
Molecule: ribosomal RNA, 251 nt
Filed under: uncultured bacterium
Lineage: Bacteria
Description: partial 16S ribosomal RNA
Rfam family: Bacterial small subunit ribosomal RNA
Source: RNAcentral